GAUGAACGCUAGCGGCAGGCCUAACACAUGCAAGUCGAGGGGCAUCGCGGUGCAGCAAUGCACUGGCAGCGACCGGCGUACGGGUGCGUAACGCGUAUGCAACCUGCCCCGCACCGGGGGAUAGCCCGCCGAAAGGCGGAUUAAUACCCCAUGGUCCCGGGGGCCCGCAUGGGCAUCCGGGUAAAGCCUUGGCGGUGCGGGAUGGGCAUGCGUGCCAUUAGCUGGCUGGUGGGGUAACGGCCCACCAGGGCAACGAUGGCUAGGGGGUCUGAGAGGAUGGUCCCCCCAACUGGUACUGAGACACGGACCAGACUCCUACGGGAGGCAGCAGUGAGGAAUAUUGGUCAAUGGGCGGAAGCCUGAACCAGCCAUGCCGCGUGCGGGAUGAAGGCCCUACGGGUUGUAAACCGCUUUUCCCCGGGAAGAAUAAGCCCCCCGCGGGGGUGAUGCCGGUACCGGGGGAAUAAGGAUCGGCUAACUCCGUG
Molecule: ribosomal RNA, 485 nt
Filed under: uncultured bacterium
Lineage: Bacteria
Description: bacterial SSU rRNA
Rfam family: Bacterial small subunit ribosomal RNA
Source: RNAcentral